This 75-nucleotide transfer RNA is filed under the name Planctomycetaceae bacterium. Its description in RNAcentral is "tRNA-Met". It matches the Rfam family "tRNA". Rfam says of the family: Transfer RNA (tRNA) molecules are approximately 80 nucleotides in length. Their secondary structure includes four short double-helical elements and three loops (D, anti-codon, and T loops). The record is from RNAcentral. Lineage: Bacteria; Pseudomonadati; Planctomycetota; Planctomycetia; Planctomycetales; Planctomycetaceae. RNAcentral also lists the same sequence under 1 other name.
GGCAGUGUGGCUCAACCGGUCUAGAGUGUCGGAUUCAUAAUCCGAAGGUUGUGGGUUCAAGUCCCACCGCUGCUA